This 301-nucleotide ribosomal RNA is filed under the name uncultured bacterium. RNAcentral's name for it is "partial 16S ribosomal RNA". It matches the Rfam family "Bacterial small subunit ribosomal RNA", at positions 509 to 807 of the family's 1533-position model. The record is from RNAcentral.
CAGUCGCCGCGGUAAUACCGAGGGUGCGAGCGUUAAUCGGAUUUACUGGGCGUAAAGCGUGCGUAGGCGGCUUCUUAAGUCGGAUGUGAAAUCCCUGAGCUUAACUUAGGAAUUGCAUUCGAUACUGGGAAGCUAGAGUAUGGGAGAGGAUGGUAGAAUUCCAGGUGUAGCGGUGAAAUGCGUAGAGAUCUGGAGGAAUACCGAUGGCGAAGGCAGCCAUCUGGCCUAAUACUGACGCUGAGGUACGAAAGCAUGGGGAGCAAACAGGAUUAGAUACCCCUGUAGUCCCUGUCUCUUAUAC